UUGUACACACCGCCCGUCACGUCAUGAAAGUCGGUAACACCCGAAGCCAGUGGCCUAACCCUUUGGGAGGGAGCUGUCGAAGGUGGGAUCGGCGAUUGGGACGAAGUCGUAACAAGGUAGCCGUACCGGAAGGUGCGGCUGGAUCACCUCCUUUCUAAGGAGCACCACGAAAAGCACCCCAAUUGGUGGGGUGCAGGCCGUGAGGGGUUCUCGCCUGUAGUGGGCGGGGGCCGGGUGCGCAACAACAAAGCGAAAGCCAGACACACUAUUGGGUCCUGAGGCAGCACUCGGGUUGUUUCGAGUGGUGUCCCCCCAUCUUGGUGGUGGGGUGUGGUGUUUGAGAACUGGAUAGUGGUUGCGAGCAUCUAAAUGGAUGCACUGCCUUCGCGGUGGUGUGUCCAUUAAAUGUGUAAUUUUUCUUUGGUUUUUGUGUUUGUAAGUGCUUAAGGGCGCAUGGUGGAUGCCUUGGC
Molecule: unclassified non-coding RNA, 470 nt
Filed under: Mycobacterium interjectum
Lineage: Bacteria; Bacillati; Actinomycetota; Actinomycetes; Mycobacteriales; Mycobacteriaceae
Description: partial contains 16S ribosomal RNA, 16S-23S ribosomal RNA intergenic spacer, and 23S ribosomal RNA
Rfam family: Bacterial small subunit ribosomal RNA (bases 1-154)
Source: RNAcentral